GUGAAUAAGCCAGUUUGAACAGAUGUGUUUUGAGCUGUGACUUAAAUACUGGAAGAGAGUUUAUAUUUCUUAUGGCUGGUGUCACGGCCUUUUAUGUUCCAAACGCCAAAAAAGUCCAAGAAAAGGCCGUGGGUGGCAACGGGAGGUUUGUUUUCGAACGCACUUCUGACUCCAUUGUUUAAAAAAUCAUCUGCCGUUUAUUUCGUGGAAAAUUAUAAACAAAAAUCAACCAAAUAACUUCUUAAAACUUAAAAUUAAACGUAGGUUAACUUAAUUUGCUUUAACAACUUCAAAAGUGGUCAAAAAAAAUCAUUUUUCGUCUUCCCAUCAGACGUUUGGCAAACAAAAACCAUCUUUACCACCCCAGGGUGCUCUUAAUCCCCUGAUUAAUGGGAGGGUCCAUAAGCCAAUAAACCAAUCACUUUCCAAAAAACUUUUCCAAUAAAAUGAAUUACAAAUUUACAUAACAAAACUAGGUCAGCAUAUUCCUACAACUUUAAAGAAAAAACAAAAAUGAAUACAAAUUGCAUUUUAUAAACAUUCAACAAAAACGGCCACAACAGCUGGAGGAAGAGAGUUCCAGAGCCGAGGAGCGGAGCGACUGAAGGCUCUGAUCCCCACAGUGGUGAGAUGAGGGCGGGAAACAGUGGUGAUAUGAAGCAGGUCACACAAAUAGGAAGGAGCAGAUUUAUGGAUACACUUGUGUGCGAGAAGUAAGACUUUAAAGUUUAUCCUGGCUUCUCCGAGCAACCAGUGAAGCUGCUGAAGAACUGGGGUAAUAUGAGCUCUUGAACAAAUGAACAAAGGGAGACGGAGGACUUAAAUACACACAUGAGGUGAUCAGGAGAGGUGGAGACACGUGAGGACACAGCUGACUCGAAUGAAAAUAUAAGGACAACACAGGGGAGAGAAACACUGGACACGCUAACAUGAGACACGGACCUUCAAAGUAAAACAGGAAACAUGACAAGCACAGACUAGACGCUGAACUAAACCUAAGAACAAAACUCUUAACCAGAAUAACACUGAAAAUUAGGAUUACAUCUUCAAAACAGGAAAACUAAAGAAUAAAAAAAAAAACAUAAUACAGAAAAAACACCGAAACACAUGAAACUAAAACUGCUGAGUCAAAAUGACCCAGCACCAUGAAACCACUAGAAAUCUGUAUCUAAUGAUUUGGCCAGUGAGUGUGUAUCUGUCUCCCUUUGCAUUCAGCGACAGCCACUUAUUUGUGCAGCUUGCUCAUACUAUUAUAACUGUAUAUGUUAAAGUGUCAAAGAUUUAUAUUAAGAGUCAAACAUUUUCUCUGCCUGCAGGGUUAUCAGGGCGAGGCGGGGUCACAGGGACCCAGAGGACAGAAAGGAGACAAGGUCAGACGAGUCAUCUGUAGAACUGCUGUCGUUUUGCAGGAAGGCUGCACGGGAUUCUGAUCCGUGUCUUUGUGCCUACAGGGA
Long non-coding RNA from Astatotilapia calliptera (eastern happy), 1454 nucleotides. The record is from Ensembl. Lineage: Eukaryota; Metazoa; Chordata; Actinopteri; Cichliformes; Cichlidae.